GCGCCCAUAGCUCAAUUGGAUAGAGCGUUAGUCUACGGAACUAAAGGUUGCUGGUUCGAUUCCAGCUGGGCGCA
RNAcentral lists this transfer RNA (74 nucleotides) under Candidatus Omnitrophota bacterium. RNAcentral's name for it is "Candidatus Omnitrophica bacterium tRNA-Arg". It matches the Rfam family "tRNA". Rfam says of the family: Transfer RNA (tRNA) molecules are approximately 80 nucleotides in length. Their secondary structure includes four short double-helical elements and three loops (D, anti-codon, and T loops). Lineage: Bacteria; Pseudomonadati; Candidatus Omnitrophota. The record is from RNAcentral.